Molecule: ribosomal RNA, 482 nt
Filed under: uncultured bacterium
Lineage: Bacteria
Description: partial 16S ribosomal RNA
Rfam family: Bacterial small subunit ribosomal RNA
Source: RNAcentral
AAUGAACGUUGGCGGCGUGGAUUAGGCAUGCAAGUCGAGCGAGAACCGCAGCAAUACGGGGACAGCGGCGAAAGGGACAGUAAUGUGUAGGUACCUACCCCUGGAUCUGGGAUAGCUGCGGGAAACUGCAGGUAAUACCGGAUAAUGUCUCCGGACCAAAGGUGUGAUUCCGUCUGGGGAGGGGCCUGCAUCCUAUUAGCUAGUUGGCGGGGUAACGGCCCACCAAGGCGACGAUGGGUAGCGGGGGUGAGAGCACGACCCGCGUCAGUGGGACUGAGACACUGCCCAGACACCUACGGGUGGCUGCAGUCGAGGAUCUUCGGCAAUGGGCGAAAGCCUGACCGAGCGACGCCGCGUGCGGGAUGAAGGCCUUCGGGUUGUAAACCGCUGUCGUAGAGGAGGAAAUGCAGGGGGGUUCUCCCCUUUGUUUGACCUAUUCUAGGAGGAAGUACGGGCUAAGUUCGUGCCAGCAGCCGCGGUAA